GCGAUGGUGGUAUAGUGGAUAGCAUAGUCGCCUUCCAAGCAAUUGACCCGAGUUCGAUUCUCGGUUAUCGCA
Daphnia pulex (common water flea) is the source of this 72-nucleotide non-coding RNA. The record is from Rfam. NCBI's taxonomy places the organism in Eukaryota, Metazoa, Arthropoda, Branchiopoda, Diplostraca, Daphniidae.